This 1246-nucleotide long non-coding RNA is filed under the name Felis catus (domestic cat). Its description in RNAcentral is "lncRNA (ENSFCAG00000049612.1)". The record is from RNAcentral. Lineage: Eukaryota; Metazoa; Chordata; Mammalia; Carnivora; Felidae.
GUCGGCUCCGCUUGGGAAGCGGCCCGGCCCCGGGUGUUCUCCCACACGCUGAACCGUGCCCGCCGCCUCCGUCCCAGGGCCGCGCAGGUGUUUCCGCACGAGGGGCUUGGGGGACCUCAGAGCCUCACGGCAGGAAUCGGAGGCCCCCGCAGGCCCCCAGCCAAGCCACAGAUUCUGUUUACUCUCAGAAGAAAGUUCCCACCUUGCAGCCAGGCUGCAGCGUGUCCGAGGCCCCCCGGACGCCGCCCAGCCCCGCGCCCUGCCUGGGAGCUGGCCCGGAGCCGGACAGACCAGCCCGGUCCUCGCGCUGUCCCCUGACUCCACGCACCCCCGCUGCUCCUCGGUCGGGCCCGGGUCUCCGUGGCCCCUCCACGGAGGGGUCUGGAAAGUGGGCCGGUGACACCCCCACAGAGAGCUGGGGCAGGUGACAGUGGAAGCUGGCUCAGACCCUGCCCGGGGCUGGGACCCCUGCCUCAAAGGAGCCCUGCCCUCGCUGGACCGAGGGGGUGGGACGUCGUCUGGGGGCCUCACCUCCCCACUCUUAGGUCCCAGCCUCUCCUGGCACUGGGGUCUUCAGCGACCAGCCCUCCACAGGGGGUUCCUCGGGCCCCUGUCCCCAGCAUCCUGCCCCACCCCCAGGAAGGCCAGACCUCCCAGAACAGGAAAUGUCCCCCUAGGACUGUCCCCUCCCUCCCUGGCAGGGGAAGCCCUGGGUUUGAGGCUUCAUUCUGGCUCUCGCCGACUCUGUGACCAUGGAUGAGUCACCUCACCUUUCUGAGCCUUUAUGUUUCUCCUCCGGGAAAUAGGGAUACUCCCUCCUGGCCCACUCGUACCAUGGGGUUGAAGGGAUCGUACCAGGGAUCGAAGAAGGAGGCCUGGGCUGAGAGCACCGGAUGCUACGAAGACUUUAGGCUCUUUCAGCCUGACUGCCCUGCCGGGACCACAGGCCACCUUGGCAAGCUUCAGCCUGAAGCUGCAUUGAGCACACGGAUUGGAUCCCAGACUCUGAGACCCUUGGUUUACGUUCAGACCUGGAGGGCGUUUACUGAACACGCCCUGGGGCACGCCUUGCACCUUGCUCUGGGCGCUGGGUUUAGGCCUCCAGGAGCCACAGCCGCACAGGUAGGUAGCCUGUUGUGGCUCAGCCGGGGGCCCUUGACCACAGGAGGAGGAGGAGGCGGGGGCUCUGAGCCCCCCGGUAGGGCCCCUCCUCCGCUGCGGUUCGACGGCUUCCCGCGGGAGGGAC